Molecule: ribosomal RNA, 427 nt
Filed under: uncultured bacterium
Lineage: Bacteria
Description: partial 16S ribosomal RNA
Rfam family: Bacterial small subunit ribosomal RNA
Source: RNAcentral
UGGGGGAUAUUGCACAAUGGGCGCAAGCCUGAUGCAGCCAUGCCGCGUGUAUGAAGAAGGCCUUCGGGUUGUAAAGUACUUUCAGCGAGGAGGAAGGCGGUAAGGUUAAUAACCUUAUCGAUUGACGUUACUCGCAGAAGAAGCACCGGCUAACUCCGUGCCAGCAGCCGCGGUAAUACGGAGGGUGCAAGCGUUAAUCGGAAUUACUGGGCGUAAAGCGCACGCAGGCGGUCUGUCAAGUCGGAUGUGAAAUCCCCGGGCUCAACCUGGGAACUGCAUUCGAAACUGGCAGGCUAGAGUCUUGUAGAGGGGGGUAGAAUUCCAGGUGUAGCGGUGAAAUGCGUAGAGAUCUGGAGGAAUACCGGUGGCGAAGGCGGCCCCCUGGACAAAGACUGACGCUCAGGUGCGAAAGCGUGGGGAGCAAACA